UUUGAUCCUGGCUCAGAUUGAACGCUGGCGGCAUGCCUUACACAUGCAAGUCGAGCGGCAGCGCGGGGGCAACCCUGGCGGCGAGCGGCGAACGGGUGAGUAAUACAUCGGAACGUGUCCUGUAGCGGGGGAUAACCUGUCGAAAGAUAGGCUAAUACCGCAUACGACCUACGGGAGAAAGCGGGGGACCGCAAGGCCUCGCACUAUUGGAGCGGCCGAUGUCGGAUUAGCUAGUUGGCGGGGUAAAAGCCCACCAAGGCGACGAUCCGUAGCUGGUCUGAGAGGACGACCAGCCACACUGGAACUGAGACACGGUCCAGACUCCUACGGGAGGCGGCAGUGGGGAAUUUUGGACAAUGGGCGCAAGCCUGAUCCAGCCAUGCCGCGUGAGUGAAGAAGGCCUUCGGGUUGUAAAGCUCUUUCGGCGGGGACGAAACGGUCCGUGACAACACCACGGACUAAUGACAGUACUCGCAGAAGAAGCACCGGCUAACUACGUGCCAGCAGCCGCGGUAAUACGUAGGGUGCAGGCGUUAAUCGGAAUUACUGGGCGUAAAGCGUGCGCAGGCGGCUCCUUAAGUCAGAUGUGAAAUCCCCGGGCUUAACCUGGGAACUGCGUUUGAGACUGGGGAGCUGGAGUGUGGAAGAGGGGGGUGGAAUUCCAGGUGUAGCAGUGAAAUGCGUAGAGAUCUGGAGGAACACCGAUGGCGAAGGCAGCCCCCUGGGCUAACACUGACGCUCAUGCACGAAAGCGUGGGGAGCAAACAGGAUUAGAUACCCUGGUAGUCCACGCCCUAAACGAUGUCAACUAGUUGUUAGGGAAGCAAUUCCCUUGGUAACGAAGCUACGCGUGAGUUGACCGCCUGGGGAGUACGCCGCAAGUUAAACUCAAGAAUUGACGGGACCCGCACAGCGG
RNAcentral lists this ribosomal RNA (916 nucleotides) under uncultured bacterium. RNAcentral describes it as "bacterial SSU rRNA". It matches the Rfam family "Bacterial small subunit ribosomal RNA", at positions 12 to 932 of the family's 1533-position model. The record is from RNAcentral.